GCGGCAGACGGGUGAGUAACGCGUGGGAAUCUACCUUUUGCUACGGAAUAACUCAGGGAAACUUGUGCUAAUACCGUAUGUGUCCUUCGGGAGAAAGAUUUAUCGGCAAAGGAUGAGCCCGCGUUGGAUUAGCUAGUUGGUGGGGUAAAGGCCCACCAAGGCGACGAUCCAUAGCUGGUCUGAGAGGAUGAUCAGCCACACUGGGACUGAGACACGGCCCAGACUCCUACGGGAGGCAGCAGUGGGGAAUAUUGGACAAUGGGCGCAAGCCUGAUCCAGCCAUGCCGCGUGAGUGAUGAAGGCCCUAGGGUUGUAAAGCUCUUUCACCGGUGAAGAUAAUGACGGUAACCGGAGAAGAAGCCCCGGCUAACUUCGUGCCAGCAGCCGCGGUAAUACGAAGGGGGCUAGCGUUGUUCGGAUUUACUGGGCGUAAAGCGCACGUAGGCGGACUUUUAAGUCAGGGGUGAAAUCCCAGAGCUCAACUCUGGAACUGCCUUUGAUACUGGAAGUCUUGAGUAUGGUAGAGGUGAGUGGAAUUCCGAGUGUAGAGGUGAAAUUCGUAGAUAUUCGGAGGAACACCAGUGGCGAAGGCGGCUCACUGGACCAUUACUGACGCUGAGG
This 621-nucleotide ribosomal RNA is filed under the name Brucella pseudogrignonensis. RNAcentral describes it as "bacterial SSU rRNA". It matches the Rfam family "Bacterial small subunit ribosomal RNA", at positions 95 to 751 of the family's 1533-position model. The record is from RNAcentral. Lineage: Bacteria; Pseudomonadati; Pseudomonadota; Alphaproteobacteria; Hyphomicrobiales; Brucellaceae.